GACGAACGCUGGCGGCGUGCUUAACACAUGCAAGUCGAACGAAGAGCGAUGGAAGCUUGCUUCUAUCAAUCUUAGUGGCGAACGGGUGAGUAACGCGUAAUCAACCUGCCCUUCAGAGGGGGACAACAGUUGGAAACGACUGCUAAUACCGCAUACGAUCUAAUCUCGGCAUCGAGGAUAGAUGAAAGGUGGCCUCUACAUGUAAGCUAUCACUGAAGGAGGGGAUUGCGUCUGAUUAGCUAGUUGGAGGGGUAACGGCCCACCAAGGCGAUGAUCAGUAGCCGGUCUGAGAGGAUGAACGGCCACAUUGGGACUGAGACACGGCCCAGACUCCUACGGGAGGCAGCAGUGGGGAAUCUUCCGCAAUGGACGAAAGUCUGACGGAGCAACGCCGCGUGAGCGAUGACGGCCUUCGGGUUGUAAAGCUCUGUUAAUCGGGACGAAAGGCCUUCUUGCGAAUAGUGAGAAGGAUUGACGGGACCGGAAUAGAAAGCCACGGCUAACUACGU
This 509-nucleotide ribosomal RNA is filed under the name uncultured bacterium. RNAcentral's name for it is "partial 16S ribosomal RNA". It matches the Rfam family "Bacterial small subunit ribosomal RNA", at positions 28 to 506 of the family's 1533-position model. The record is from RNAcentral.